This 343-nucleotide long non-coding RNA is filed under the name Volvox carteri. RNAcentral's name for it is "long non-coding RNA (VCAR_LNC003778)". The record is from RNAcentral. Lineage: Eukaryota; Viridiplantae; Chlorophyta; Chlorophyceae; Chlamydomonadales; Volvocaceae.
UGGUAGGUACCCUCCCCAGGCACCCGACCGGAGUAAACUUAAUUGGAAAUGCGUGCGUUUACAUCUGUGAUGGCCUAUACAAAAUUUCAGGUUCAACGGACCCCUCCCUGAAAAGUUGUCGAGCGUCUUCUAAUAUUAGAUCCUAAUUUCUAAUUAGAAUCUAAUUAGAAAUUAGAUUAGAACGGAAAACAUUCUAAUGUCAGGAACAACCCUAUAUAUAUGUUAUGUUAACCUUGUAUGUACUACAUUAUAUGUACGAGGUUGGCACGUAUAGGUAGUCGACAGGGAUUCACUAUUUUAGGGAAGAAAGAAUGUACAAGGAUUUCCAUGCCUUAGUGGUCCU